GGGCCCGCCACGCUGCGGGGCUUCGCGCAGCGCGGUGUAGGGCCCCGGGCUGACGGCCUCGCGCUUGGCGGUACUAUGUACUGGGCGAGCGGCGUGCACGUGUACGCGCCGCUGCCGUUCGUGUCGCGCGGCGGGCUGGCCGACCUCUUCCGCUCGCACCUCUUCCUCAACGCCGGCUGCCUCGCGCACCCCGAGGAGGGCGAGUCGGUAACGUCCGCGCUGUC
This is a long non-coding RNA of Papilio polytes (common Mormon), 224 nucleotides long. RefSeq lists it as uncharacterized. The transcript is spliced from 3 exons. Lineage: Eukaryota; Metazoa; Arthropoda; Insecta; Lepidoptera; Papilionidae. The record is from RefSeq and is a predicted model, not a curated record.